CCAAUAGCGUAUAUUAAAGUUGCUGCAGUUAAAAAGCUCGUAGUUGAAUUUCGGGAUCAAAUUGUCGGUCGUGCCUCGGUACGUACUGGCGUUAUUGGUUCCUCCCUUCUGAAGAACCACGAUGUCAUUAAUUUGGUGUCGUGGGGAAUCAGGACUGUUACUUUGAAAAAAUUAGUGUGUUUAAAGCAGGCUCGCUCUUGAAUACCUUAGCAUGGUAUAAUGAAAUAGGACGUUUGAUUCUAUUUUGUUGGUUUCUAGGAUCGACGUAAUGAUUAAUAGGGAUAGUUGGGGGCAUUAGUAUUCAAUUGUCAGAGGUGAAAUUCUUGGAUUUAUUGAAGACUAACUACUGCGAAAGCAUUUGCCAAGGAUGUUUUCAUUAAUCAAGAACGAAAGUUAGGGGAUCGAAGACGAUCAGAUACCGUCGUAGUCUUAACCAUAAACUAUGCCGACUAGGGAUCGGACGAUGUUAAUUUUUUAAUGACUCGUUCGGCGCCUUACG
This 499-nucleotide ribosomal RNA is filed under the name uncultured Glomeromycotina. Its description in RNAcentral is "SSU rRNA". It matches the Rfam family "Eukaryotic small subunit ribosomal RNA", at positions 591 to 1092 of the family's 1831-position model. The record is from RNAcentral. Lineage: Eukaryota; Fungi; Glomeromycota.